AACGUACGCUGGCGGCACGCCUAACACAUGCAAGUCGAACGAAGUAGCAAUACUUAGUGGCAGACGGGUGAGUAACAUGUGGGUAUCUGCCCUUUGGCCUGGAAUAACACGAGGAAACUUGUGCUAAUACCGGAUAAGUCUUUACGGAGAAAGCUUUAUGCACCAUUGGAUGAGCCUGCACUUGAUUAGUUUGUUGGUGGGGUAAUGGCCUACCAAGACUGUGAUCAAUAGCUGAUUUGAGAGGAUGAUCAGCCACAUUGGGACUGAGACACGGCCCAAACUCCUACGGGAGGCAGCAGUGGGGAAUCUUGCACAAUGGAGGAAACUCUGAUGCAGCGAUGCCGCGUGAGUGAAGAAGGCCCUUGGGUUGUAAAGCUCUUUCGUCGGGGAAGAAAAUGACUGUACCCGAAUAAGAAGGUCCGGCUAACUUCGUGCCAGCAGCCGCGGUAAUACGAAGGGACCUAGCGUAGUUCGGAAUUACUGGGCUUAAAGAGUUCGUAGGUGGUUGAAAAAGUUAGUGGUGAAAUCCCAGAGCUUAACUCCGGAACUGCCAUUAAAACUUUUCAGCUAGAGUAUGAUAGAGGAAAGCAGAAUUUCUAGUGUAGAGGUGAAAUUCGUAGAUAUUAGAAAGAAUACCAAUUGCGAAGGCAGCUCUCUGGAUCAUUACUGA
This 670-nucleotide ribosomal RNA is filed under the name alpha proteobacterium IMCC14463. RNAcentral describes it as "bacterial SSU rRNA". It matches the Rfam family "Bacterial small subunit ribosomal RNA", at positions 28 to 743 of the family's 1533-position model. Lineage: Bacteria; Pseudomonadati; Pseudomonadota; Alphaproteobacteria. The record is from RNAcentral.